UGGGGAAUAUUGCACAAUGGGCGAAAGCCUGAUGCAGCAACGCCGCGUGCGGGAUGACGGCCUUCGGGUUGUAAACCGCUUUCAGCAGGGACGAAGGUUUUCUGACGGUACCUGCAGAAGAAGCACCGGCUAACUACGUGCCAGCAGCCGCGGUGAUACGUAGGGUGCGAGCGUUGUCCGGAAUUAUUGGGCGUAAAGAGCUUGUAGGCGGUCCGUUGCGUCGGAAGUGAAAACUCAGGGCUUAACCCUGAGCCUGCUUUCGAUACGGGCGGACUUGAGGGAUGUAGGGGAGAACGGAAUUCCUGGUGGAGCGGUGGAAUGCGCAGAUAUCAGGAGGAACACCAGUGGCGAAGGCGGUUCUCUGGACAUUUCCUGACGCUGAGAAGCGAAAAGCGUGGGGAGCAAAACAGGCUUAGAUACCCUGGUAGUCCACGCCGUAAAACGGUGGGCACUAGGUGUGGGACCCAUUCCACGGGUUCCGUGCCGUAGCUAAACGCAUUAAAGUGCCCCGCCUGGGGAGUACGGCCGCAAGGCUAAAAACUCAAAUGAAUUGACGGGGUCAUAGCUG
RNAcentral lists this ribosomal RNA (568 nucleotides) under uncultured bacterium. RNAcentral describes it as "partial 16S ribosomal RNA". It matches the Rfam family "Bacterial small subunit ribosomal RNA", at positions 355 to 932 of the family's 1533-position model. The record is from RNAcentral.